RNAcentral lists this long non-coding RNA (402 nucleotides) under Callithrix jacchus (white-tufted-ear marmoset). RNAcentral describes it as "lncRNA (ENSCJAG00000072000.1)". Lineage: Eukaryota; Metazoa; Chordata; Mammalia; Primates; Cebidae. The record is from RNAcentral.
GGACCCCUUAUGGCAGCUAAUAGUUGGAUUUUGUCCUUUUCUCUUGCCAGGAGAAUCCCACAAAGUAGUCAGAGACCCCCCAAAGGGAAGACGUGUCAGGCUGAGGGAUUUCCUAUGACCUGGGAACCUGAGAGUCCAGUUGAUAAAACUUCAGACCCAUCCGAUGGCAGCACCUCCUUCUUCGAGGGUUCCCAGCUCUGAUGGAAUCAUUUUGACAUUUGACCACAGACCAUUGGUAAGUCUGAACCCCCUAAUCUGGAGUAUUCAGAGCCUUCCAGUUAUAAUCUCAACUCUGCUAUUGGGACAAAUGUCUAACCUCUUGUAGUCUGAGUUUUCACCUCUGGAUGAUGGAGAGGAAACGCUCCAUCCUCCUGGGUCAUUGAGAGAAUUAGACAGGAUCUG